Ostrea edulis (European flat oyster) is the source of this 5710-nucleotide long non-coding RNA. RefSeq lists it as uncharacterized. The record is from RefSeq and is a predicted model, not a curated record. The transcript has 4 exons. Lineage: Eukaryota; Metazoa; Mollusca; Bivalvia; Ostreida; Ostreidae.
UUGGAAAGGCUGAUCUCCGUAACUAGAGAUAGUACCAUCACCAUUUCUUAACAGUGGUGGGAAAGGACCACUAAUACCCUUCGCCAAAAUUUCAGUUCCAGCGGUAAGGGUCUUCGAUUAUUCGGAACCCGAUGUUUAUUCACUAUUUAAAAAUGUCGGAGGACCGGAUUUCCAUAACUAAAGAGAGUAACAUCACCAUAUGCGUUAUGCAUAAAAAUAGGACGGUCGGAUCUUCGUAACCCGAGAAAGUUACAUCACCAUUUCUUCAUAGUGGUCGGAAAGGACCAAUAAUGCCUUCCACCAAAAUUUCACUCCCCGGGGUAGGAAUCCUCGAUGAUUCCGAAACCGAUGUUUAUUCACUUAGUGUAAUGUAUUCUGCAUAAAAAUUGGAGGGGCGGAUCUCCGUCAGUAGAGAGAAUAACAUCACCAUUUCUUCACAGUGGUGGAAGAGGACAACUAAUACCCUUCAAAAAAAAAUUCAGUCCCCGGGAUAGGGGUCUUCGAUGAUUCCGAACCCGAUGAUUAUUCACUUAGUGUAAUGCAUUAUGCAUAAAAAUUGGAGGAGCGGAUCUCCGUAACUAAAGAGAGCAGCAUCACCAAUUCUUCAUAGUGGUGGUACAGGACCACUAAUACCCUUCCGCCAAAAUUUCAGUCCCCGGAGUAGGGGUCUUCGAUGAUUCCGAACCCGAUGUUUAUUCCCUUUGUGUAAAGCAUUAUGCAUAAAAAUUGGAGGGGCGAUGCUCCGUAACUAGAGUGAGUAACAUCUCUAUUUCUUCACAGUGGUGAGAGACGACCCCUAAUACCCUUCCGCCAAAAUUUCAGUCCCCGGGGUAGGGGUUUCGAUAAUUCCGAACCCGAUGUUUAUUCACUUACUAUAAUGCAUUAUGCAUAAAUCUUGGAAAGGCUGAUCUCCGUAACUAGAAAUAGUACCAUCACCAUUUCUUAACAGUGGUGGGAAAGGACCACUAAUACCUUUCGCCAAAAUUUCAGUCCCAGCGGUAAGGGUCUUCGAUUAUUCGGAACCCGAUGUUUAUUCACUAUUUAAAAAUGUCGGAGGACCGGAUCUCCAUAACUAAAGAGAGUAACAUCACCAUAUGCGUUAUGCAUAAAAAUAGGACGGUCGGAUCUUCGUAACCCGAGAAAGUUACAUCACCAUUUCUUCAUAGUGGUCGGAAAGGACCACUAAUACCCUAGCCCCAAAAUUUCAGUUCCCGGGGUAAGGGUUUUCGAUAAUUCCCAGCCCGAUGUUUAUUCACUAAGUGUAAUGCGUUAUAUAUAAAUGUUGGAAGAGCGCAUCUCCAUAACUAAAGAGAAUAACAUUAAUAUUUCUUCAUAGUGGUGGAAAGGGACCACUAAUACCCGUCCCCCAAAAUUUCAGUCUCCGGGGUAGGGGUCUUCGAUGAUUCCGAACUCGAUGGUUAUUCACUUAGUGUAAAGCAUUAUGCAUAAAUGUUGGAUGGGCGGAUCACCGUAACUAGAGAGAGUACCAUCACCAUUUCUUAACAGUGGUGGAGAAAGGACCACUAAUACCGUUCCGCCAGAAUUUUAGUCCCCGGGGUAGGGGUCGUCGAUGAUUCCGAACCCGAUGUUUAUUCACUUACUGUAAUGCUUUAUGCAUAAAACUAGGAGACGCGGAUCUCCGUAACUAGAAGGAGUACCAUCACUAUUUCUUCAUAGUGGUGGGAGAGGACCACUAACAACCUUCUCUUAAAAUUUGAAUCCCCUGGGUAGGGGUCUUCGAUAAUUCCGAACCUGAGCUUUAUUCACUAAGUGUAAUGCAUUAUGUAUAAAAAUUGGAGGGGCGGAUUUCCAUAACUAGAGAAAGUAACAUCACCAUUUCUUCAUAGUGGUGGGAGAGGACCACUAAUACCCUACCACAAAAAUUUCAGUCCCCGGGAUAAGGGUCUUCAAUGAUUCCGAACCCGAUGUUUAUUCACUUAGUGUAAAGCAUUAUGCAUAAAAAUUGGAGGGGCGGAUCUCCGUAACUUGAGAGAGUAACAUCACCAUUUCUUCAUAGUGGUGGGAGAGGACCACUGAUACCCUACCCCUAGAAUUUCAGUCUCCGGGGUAUGGUCUUUCAUAAUUCCGAACCCGAUGUUUAUUCACUAAGUGAAAUGCGUUAUUUAAAAAUGUCGGAGGAGCGGAUCUCCAAAACUAAACAGAGUAACAUCACCAUUUCUUUUUAUUGGUGGGAGAGGACCACUAAUACCCUUCCCCCGAAAUUUCAGUCCCCGGGGUAAGGGUCUUCGAUGAUUCCGAACCCGAUGUUUAUUCAUUUAGUGUAAUGCACUAUGCAUAAAAAUUGGAGGGGCGGAUCUCCGUAACUUAAGAGAGCACCAUCACAAUUUCUUCAUAGUAUUGGUAAAGGACCACUAAUAGCCUUCCGCCAAAAUUUCUGUCACCAGGGUAGGGGUCUUCGAUGAUUCUGAACCCGAUGUUUAUUCACUUUGUGUAAUGCAUAAUGCAUAAAAAUUGGAGGGGCGGAUCUCCGUAUCUAGAGAGAGUAACAUCACCAUUUUUUCACAGUGGUGGAAUAGGACCACUAAUACCCUACCACAACAAUUUCAGUCCGCGGGGUAGGGGUCUUCGAUGAUUCCGAACCUGAUGUUUAUUCACUAAGUGUAAAGCGCUAUUUAAAAAUGUUCGAGGAGCGGAUCUCCAAAACUAAACAGAGUAACAUCACCAUUUCUUUUUAUUGGUGGGAGAGGACCACUAAUACCCUUCCCCCGAAAUUUCAGUUCCCGGGGUAGGGGUGUUCGAUGAUUCCGAACCCGAUGUUUAUUCAUUUAGUGUAAUGCACUAUCCAUAAAAAUUGAAGGGGCGGAUCUCCGUAACUAAAGAGAGUACCAUCACUUUUUUUUCAUAGUAGUGGUAAAGGACCAUUAAUACCCUUCAACCAAAAUUUCAGUCACCAGGGUAGGGGUCUUCGAUGAUUCCGAACCCGAUGUUUAUUCACUUUGUGUAAUGCAUUAUGCAUAAAAAUUGGAGGGGCGGAUCUCCGUAACUAGAAAGGGUACCAUCACCAUUUCUUCAUAGUGGUGGGAGAGGACCACUAAUACCCUACCACAACAAUGUCAUUCACCGAGGUAGGGGUCUUCGAUGAUUCCGAACCUGAUGUUUAUUCACUUAGUGUAAAACGUUAUUUAGAAAUGUCGGAGGAGCGGAUCUCAAAAACUAAAGAGAGUAACAUCACCAUUUCUUUGUAGUGGUGGAGAGGACCACUAAUACCCUUCCCCCCAAAAUUUCAGUCCCUGGGGUAGGGUCUUCGAUGAUUCCAAACCCGAUGUUUAUUCACUUACUGUAAUGCGUUAUGCAUAAAAAUUGGAGAGGUAGAUCUUUGUAAUUAGAGAUAGUAACAUCACCAUUUUUGCAUAGUGGUGGUAAAUGACCACCGAUACCCUUCUGCCAAAAUUUCAGUCCCCGUGGUAGGGGUCUUCGAUGAUUCCGAACCAGGUAUUUAUUCACUUUGUGUAAUGCAUUAUGCAUAAAAAUUGGAGUGGCGGAUCUCCGUAACUAGAGAAAGUAACAUCACUUUUUCUUCACAGUGGUGACAAAGGACCACUAAUACCCUUCCGCCAAUAUUUCAGUCCCUGGGGUAGCGGUGUUCAAUAAUUCCGAACCCGAUGUUUAUUCACUUGCACACUGUUUUGGCUAAAUUUAGCUCUAAAACUUCAUAGUUAUUUCGAAUUUCAAACAUUUCAGUUGAGCAUCACUGAAGAGACAUUUUUUGUCGAAAUGCGCAUCUGGUGCAUCAAAAUUGGUACCGUAUAAGUUUUACGUUAUGACCCCUGGGUCGAGGCCUCUGCUGGUGGACUGUUAGUCCCCGAGGGUCUCUACAGCCCAGUUGCUAAGUACUUCGUUACUAGCUUGAAAAUACGGAUGUAUAUUUAAUUGCUGUUAUAAAAUUUAGAAAUUCAUUUCAAAAUUAAGGAUUUUCUCCCUCAUGCAUAGCUCUUAUCCUUGGACGAAUUUUCUCCACUUUUUUUGGCACGCUGUUUUGGCUAUAUUUAGCUCUAAAAGUUCAAAGCUAUUUCCAAAUUCAAACAUUUCGGUUGAGCAUCACUGAAGAGACAUUUUUUGUCGAAAUGCGCAUCUGGUGCAUCAAAAUUGGUACCGUAUAAGUUUUACAUUACUGUAAUGCGUUAUGCAUAAAACUUGGAGGCGCGGAUCUCCGUAACUAGAAAGAGUACCAUCACAAUUUCUUCAUAGUGGUGGGAGAGGACCACUAAAACCUUUCUCCCAAAAUUUCGAUCCCCUGGAUAGGAGUCUUCGAUGAUUCCAAAUCCGAUCUUUAUUCACUUAGUGUAAUGCAUUAUGCAUAGAAAUUGGAGAGGCGGAUCUCCGUAACUAGAGAGAGUAACAUCACCAUUUCUUCAUAGUGGUGGGAUAGGACUACUAAUACCCUCCCACAAAAAUUUCAGUCCCUGGGGUAGGGGUCUUCGAUGAUUCUGAAACUGAUGUUUAUUCACUAAGUGUAAUGUGUUACGCAUAAAAAUUGGAGGGGCGGAUCUACGUAACUAGAGAGAUUACCAUCACCAUUUCUUAACAGUGUUUGGGGUUGGUAACUGGCACCCCAUCCUUAUAACUCCAGUGUGGUGUUAUUUUAUGCAUAUAGAAAUUUGAAUUGCGAACUGCGUUCUAGAAUGCAGUUCACUAUUGAAUUGCGAAUAGUGAACUGCGAACGUUUAACGUCCCUCUCAAGAAUUUUUCACUCAUAUGGAGACAUCACCAAUAGGGUCUGUAAGUCUCGUCAUGUGAUUGCCGAGAUUUAGCGAGAUUAUUAACUUCCGGGUACAUCAACAUCUCAGAUUGCACAGUGUAGAGAGUGGUAUACAUAGAUAUAGCGUUGUCAAUCGAUUAUGAGGAGGUUUUAACGAGGUAAACAUGGGGAUUGAACCAUUAGUGGAGUCGUCGAGGAUUCUUUGCUUCGUGUUUGACGAAUUACGUGUAAUAACCGCCAGUGUACAAACAUCGACGAGGGUACGUCUUGCAGAUAAAGAGCAGAUAUGCCUUGAAUCUGAGGAUAAAGGUGUUGUGCAUUGUGCAGUCAUCAUUAAUGUGGAUGUCUGAUGCCAGUAUGCCCAUAAUGGGGCAGUAUAAGUGCCGAUCUUCAUAUGGCAGCAAAUAUUCAAAGCCAGAUAUAAGAAGGCAAAUAAAACUGUUCAAUGUAAAAUACGCCAGUAGUUGGAUAAAACAUCCAAAGUCGGCACAGUCAAAGGUCACAACAACAAUGGAGGAAUUAACUGCAUGAAUCCUCAUUCCGCAGGGCAACAGGCCAUUUUCAGCAACCCCUGAAAUUCUUAAUUGAGGCCAAGUGCCCAUUUUCAGCUCGAACAAUGACAAUUAAAGAGGCCUGUGCAAAUGUUGGGAUUUCCCUCUUAAAUGUGAUGCAAGGGAUGGUUCGCUGCACCUCAAAACAAAAUAUGAAUAUUGGCAUCAGGUUCAAGGACAACAACACCUGAAAGACAUCCAAUGCUGUGAUUUGCUAGCGUGGAUUUCUAGUGACACUCAAAUAAUUCACAUUGACAAAGAUGUAUUAUUGUCAACAAAUGUUUAAGCGUGAUAGAGUUUAAUUAUAAUAAUGAGGUAUAUUUGCAGUCUAAAACACACACACAUAACCACAUGUACAUACUUUAUUAUGAUAUCAGUGGUGCAUCUAUCAAUGUUAUGUAAUUACAUGUAUAUUUAAUGAAUAAACAUUAUAGACAGA